This 512-nucleotide ribosomal RNA is filed under the name Platyplectrum melanopyga (Wokan cannibal frog). Its description in RNAcentral is "partial 16S ribosomal RNA". It matches the Rfam family "Bacterial large subunit ribosomal RNA", at positions 1853 to 2580 of the family's 2925-position model. The record is from RNAcentral. Lineage: Eukaryota; Metazoa; Chordata; Amphibia; Anura; Limnodynastidae.
UCCAGCCUGCCCAGUGACUCAGUUCAACGGCCGCGGUAUCCUGACCGUGCGAAGGUAGCGUAAUCACUUGUUCUUUAAAUAAGGACUAGUAUGAAUGGCAUCACGAGGGUUAAACUGUCUCCCUUUUCUAAUCAGUGAAACUAAUCUCCCCGUGAAGAAGCGGGGAUGAUAAUAUAAGACGAGAAGACCCCAUGGAGCUUUAAACAAACAGCAUAUGCUUACUCUACCUCACUGCAAUUAGUCAAGCAUUUUGUCUGCUAGUUUUUGGUUGGGGCGACCACGGAGAAGAACAAAUCCUCCGCGUUGAAAGAAAAUAUUUCUUAACUAAAAGCCACAUCUUAAAGUAUCAAUAACUUGACAACCCUUGACCCAAUAAUAUUGAUCAACGAACCUAGUUACCCUGGGGAUAACAGCGCAAUCCAUUUCAAGAGCUCCUAUCGACAAAUGGGUUUACGACCUCGAUGUUGGAUCAGGGUAUCCCAGUGGUGCAGCCGCUACUAAUGGUUCGUUGU